This is a long non-coding RNA of Lutra lutra (Eurasian river otter), 594 nucleotides long. RefSeq lists it as uncharacterized. The transcript has 3 exons. The record is from RefSeq and is a predicted model, not a curated record. NCBI's taxonomy places the organism in Eukaryota, Metazoa, Chordata, Mammalia, Carnivora, Mustelidae.
GAUGAGGAAACUGAGACCCAGCACAGGGAAAUGACACAUCCAAGUUCACACAGAAUUGGCUUCAUCCCAGGCAGCUCUACCUGCCUGGUAUCCUGAUGAUCUCCAACAGAUCCAAUCUUACCUUCUAUCAUCCUAACAACUAGCAAAUGCUCUCCGGUAAAUAUCUGGAACUCCAAGCUCCAUCUCACUUUGGCUUUUUGAGAGCUCAACCUAGAGACCAGCAUGGAUCCAACCACAAUAAGCUUUGUAUAUGAAGCUGAGCCUGUUACCUGUACUCAAGCAUUUCGUAAGGAGAACUAAAGCAUUAAAUGUGCACUCUCAAUUCUCAGUAUCUCCCAAAGCCUGAAAUAAACAUUCUGCCUUGUUACAAAGCUGGGAAAACAAAGAAUAAAAAUGACCCUAUUGUAUGUGUUCUACAAGCAUUCCUGAGAGCCUAUUCAGUGUAAGAAACUGUCUGAGGCAUCAGAGACAAAAAAAUAAAACAUGGCCCAUAGAAAACUUCUUGCAGAUAGCCUCUGAGAAGUUCCAGGCUGGUUAGAGAGGUCACGUGAGCCAAGUGGGCAAGGUGAAAAUGAAGAUCUAAAACACAUUAUU